UACGGAGGAUGCGAGCGUUAUCCGGAUUUAUUGGGUUUAAAGGGUGCGUAGGCGGCUUUUUAAGUCAGCGGUGAAAUUUUGCAGCUUAACUGUAACAGUGCCGUUGAUACUGGGGAGCUAGGAUUUGGUUGCUGUGGGUGGAAUGUGUGGUGUAGCGGUGAAAUGCUUAGAGAUCACACAGAAUAUCGAUUGCGAAGGCAGCUCACAAAGCCAAGAUUGACGCUGAGGCACGAAAGUGUGGGGAGCAAACAGGAUUA
This 257-nucleotide ribosomal RNA is filed under the name uncultured prokaryote. RNAcentral describes it as "partial 16S ribosomal RNA". It matches the Rfam family "Bacterial small subunit ribosomal RNA", at positions 524 to 780 of the family's 1533-position model. The record is from RNAcentral.